Long non-coding RNA from Talpa occidentalis (Iberian mole), 788 nucleotides. RefSeq lists it as uncharacterized. The transcript is spliced from 3 exons. Lineage: Eukaryota; Metazoa; Chordata; Mammalia; Eulipotyphla; Talpidae. The record is from RefSeq and is a predicted model, not a curated record.
CUCUGUCCUCAUGUCCUAUAGGACGGACAACUCAUGGAUCAUGGAUACACACAAGCUGCAUGGGUUUUCAGAUAAUGUGCAGUCACUUAACAAAAGGAACCAGACAAAAGCAAGAUGUGUCCCAUGCUUACGUGCUCCUCGUUAUGGAGCGGAGGAUGAAUGCCACCGCGUUCUCAAUGAUCUCUGUGCCCAGGAGGUUGAGGAAGCCUGGGAGCCCUGAGUCUGGCUCUGGUUUUUUGCCAGCGUCAUCUGGCUUGUCUGCUGGUUUGUCAUCUGAAAAACAGAGCAGAAUCUCAGAGAAACUGCAGCCAUUUCCACACAUCAGCAAUGCAUGGUCGUUUGGAACUGCUCCAGUUUCCUCAUCAGGAGGAAUAAGCAGACAAGCAGCACUUGAGCCAAUCAUCUCAAGAUCCUCAACUCCUUCCGCUACCAUGGGCUGAUUGACCUCGAGACUGUGGAUGUGGAACUGAAGUGAAUGGCAAAGGUGUGGAUGUGGUCAUGAUGUGGCGAUCUGGCCAGCAGAAUCUGGCCAGCAGAAGACUGCCACCUCCUUUGUGUGGCCCACCACCCACAAGCCAGCCCAGGCCAUCAGCAUCUGGCACAUGAUCCACAAGAACGAAGACUGCCCCAGCCUGUGCAUGACUGCCAUCUGCAGGCCUGUGCAGCCAGAAUCCUGAUGGUGAAGAGGAGGACUUGCCCCAUGGAGAGUUCCUGGGCCCACCCCCAUCCCCCAAGCAAUAAAGGUGUUAGCCAACUCCAAAAAAUAAUAACAAUAAAUAAAUGCAAUC